GACGAACGCUGGCGGCGUGCUUAACACAUGCAAGUCGAACGGAAAGGCCCUGCUUUUGUUGGGUGCUCGAGUGGCGAACGGGUGAGUAACACGUGAGUAACCUGCCCUUGACUUUGGGAUAACUUCAGGAAACUGGGGCUAAUACCGGAUAGGAGCUCCUGCUGCAUGGUGGGGGUUGGAAAGUUUCGGCGGUUGGGGAUGGACUCGCGGCUUAUCAGCUUGUUGGUGUGGUAGUGGCUUACCAAGGCUUUGACGGGUAGCCGGCCUGAGAGGGUGACCGGCCACAUUGGGCCUGAGAUACGGCCCAGACUCCUACGGGAGGCAGCAGUGGGGAAUAUUGCACAAUGGGCGGAAGCCUGAUGCAGAAACGCCGCGUGCGGGAUGACGGCCUUCGGGUUGUAAACCGCUUUCGCCUGUGACGAAGCGUGAGUGACGGUAAUGGGUAAAGAAGCACCGGCUAACUACGUG
Molecule: ribosomal RNA, 468 nt
Filed under: uncultured bacterium
Lineage: Bacteria
Description: partial 16S ribosomal RNA
Rfam family: Bacterial small subunit ribosomal RNA
Source: RNAcentral